Molecule: long non-coding RNA, 346 nt
Filed under: Ananas comosus (pineapple)
Lineage: Eukaryota; Viridiplantae; Streptophyta; Magnoliopsida; Poales; Bromeliaceae
Description: long non-coding RNA (ACOM_LNC043598)
Source: RNAcentral
UGGAAUGUUGGUGUUUUUGUUGAAAAAAUAUUAGUGACCAUGUAUUAGAAUGAUUAAUCGAGAUUUGAAUACUUUAACUAUUCUAGAAAGAUUCUUAGUUGGAUAUAUUUUGUUUGUUUGGAUUUUAAAGAUACUUUGAAUUAGAAAUAUAUUUUGGUUUGUUUGUUAAUUUAUGUAUGCUUGGUGAUAAUUUGAAUUGUGAAAUGUAAAAAAUUGUCAUAUAAAUAGUGGAUGGAUUUUGCUAGAUAGAUUGCUGAAACUGCGACAAAACUGUUCAUUGCUAAUAUAUGAUUGCUGGUAUAUAUUGAUAGAUAAAUUUACGACCAUAUUAUUGGUCGCAAAAUAU